UGACAGUACUCCUACGGGGAGGCAGCAGUGGGGGAAUAUUGCACAAUGGGCGCAAGCCUGAUGCAGCCAUGCCGCGUGUGUGAAGAAGGCCUUCGGGUUGUAAAGCACUUUCAGUCGUGAGGAAGGUAGUGUAGUUAAUAGCUGCAUUAUUUGACGUUAGCGACAGAAGAAGCACCGGCUAACUCCGUGCCAGCAGCCGCGGUAAUACGGAGGGUGCGAGCGUUAAUCGGAAUUACUGGGCGUAAAGCGCAUGCAGGUGGUUUGUUAAGUCAGAUGUGAAAGCCCGGGGCUCAACCUCGGAAUAGCAUUUGAAACUAGGCAGACUAGAGUACUGUAGAGGGGGGUAGGAAUUUCAGGUGUAGCGGUGAAAUAGCGUAGAGAUCUGAAGGAAUACCGGUGGCGAAGGCGGCCCCCUCGGACAGAUACUGACACUCAGAUGCGAAAGCGUGGGGAGCAAACAGGAUUAGAUACCCUGGUAG
RNAcentral lists this ribosomal RNA (479 nucleotides) under uncultured bacterium. RNAcentral describes it as "bacterial SSU rRNA". It matches the Rfam family "Bacterial small subunit ribosomal RNA", at positions 328 to 793 of the family's 1533-position model. The record is from RNAcentral.